GCUUCUCAUCAGACAUAACCACCAAGAACCUGGCCAGCCAGGAAGCUAGAGUCCAAACAGGCCAGCCUUCCUGAACACACAGCCCAGGGGCAUGAGGUAAAUGAAAGUGGGGAGCAAAAUCAUACGAAGAUAUGUUCCACCAAAAUGAGGAAGAAGGGAGAGAGAAAGAGAGAGAGAGAGAUACAGAAAAGGAAAAGAAUUCCCAUGAUGAUGUUGAAGAAAA
Molecule: long non-coding RNA, 223 nt
Organism: Zalophus californianus (California sea lion)
Lineage: Eukaryota; Metazoa; Chordata; Mammalia; Carnivora; Otariidae
Exons: 3
Source: RefSeq, a predicted model, not a curated record